GAGGAUUCCUGACAUUUGUUUUCCCUCCUGGGAGCAGAGGGCUGGGAGAGCUCUCGGGGACGCUGAGCUGGUGUCACUUCACCCAUGACAGAAUUGCUCCCUGUGUGAUUUUGGGCUGAUUUAUCAGGCAUUUGAGGAGGGAUUUGUUUUGUGUGAGAUGCUGGCAGAGUGGCUGAGGAACAAACCCCUGGUUUUUGUUUUUUCUCCCUUGGCAAGAUCUAACAGUUACAAACGGAACGGCAGAGCUGCUGCACACGGAGCACAUCUGGUACCCCCGGAUACGAGAGCUACAUCCUGCCAAGAGCCCUGCAGCCAAGAGGGCUGACAGUCUCCUGAGACCACAACGCUGCUCUAAUCCAGCUUCUAAGGAGCACUUGUGACCAAUGCAGCACACACUCUGCCCCUAGGAGCUAGGAGCAUCACCUCGUGGCGCACCAACCCUUGCCGUUCGAUCUGAGAGCUGAAAGAUCCAAGGUGCCAUCAUCAUGUCGUCGCUGAUCGAGGUGGUGAUCGGGCUGCUGGGGCUGCCCGGGGCUCUGCUGCGCUACAUCGGCCCCCUGACCAUCACCCCCACCGUGGCCCUCAUCGGCCUCUCGGGCUUCCAGGCUGCUGGGGAGAGAGCUGGCAAGCACUGGGGCAUCGCCAUGCUGUGAGUACCCUGCUGGGGAGACAGGGGUUUGGGUGAUGGGGAGGCUGCUGAGCGCUGCCAGCGCGGAGAAACAACGGGGCAGGAACGGGGAUGAGUCGAGUUCAGCUGGAAAUGUGGAGAGCAGCAGGUCAGGACAGCAGGAGCUGAGGAGAGCAGGAGCUCAGGAGAGCAGGAGAGCAGGAGCUGAGGAGAGCAGGAGC
This is a long non-coding RNA of Parus major (Great Tit), 849 nucleotides long. RefSeq lists it as uncharacterized. The record is from RefSeq and is a predicted model, not a curated record. Lineage: Eukaryota; Metazoa; Chordata; Aves; Passeriformes; Paridae. The transcript is spliced from 3 exons.